Molecule: long non-coding RNA, 2059 nt
Organism: Macadamia integrifolia
Lineage: Eukaryota; Viridiplantae; Streptophyta; Magnoliopsida; Proteales; Proteaceae
Exons: 3
Source: RefSeq, a predicted model, not a curated record
UGAUUCCCGAUCCGAUUCACCGAUUUUGAAACCCUGGAGGCCACUGUUUGUGAAGAAGCAGAGCAGAACUCAAUUAUGAUGCAGUUAACUAUUUUACAGAUCAAAUAGUCAAAUACUGUCUAUUUCGACGUUCUGCAUAGGAGGAGCUUCCUCAUUUUCUGGGUGAUCGCGGAAAAUUGUAAGAAGCUACAAUGGCAAUUUCCCAAUUUGCUGAAGUGAGUUAACGAUGACAAUACCAAUAAUUCCUUCCUCUCCCUCUCUCUGAGCACUGUGACCUUCACACAUUGGAGCAGCUUUGCCGUACAAUAAGGACCAAUUGCCGAAUGACGUGGUACUAGAGGAUAGACUAUUUUAACAAGCUCUAGAAGUUGGAAUUAGCAUUCUGGUACUUUAUAUUCAUCUAGCUAACUUUAAUGUGCAUACAUUUGAUGUUUAGCUGGGAAAAGCCUAAUCUGCUGAAACAUUUUUGUUUGGUGUGUAUCUCUCUAAUAAGAUCCAAUGUCAAAGAUAUAAGCAAAAUUAUAUUUUGACUACCAAGUUGGACUUCAAUAAUGACAUUAGGUGUAUUGAUUUCCUUGGUUCUGAAUGCACAAGGCAAACAGAUUCAGGGAUUCAUGAAGCUGAAUAUAAGCUCUAGUGGCUGGGCCUGGUUCUAUUUAGGGUCAGCAGAAUCAGAAUGUAUGUGGAAAACAGUGGAAGCUGGCUGAUGAUGAUGAUUUAAAAGCAGCCAAUGGAGAGAGUAACUGGGGGACUGAUCAUGGUCUUGGCGUGAAAUCAAUAAACAUUGCUCCUUCAGAAUUGUCCAACUCUCUCAGAAUUGUCCAACUCUCACUUACAAAAUACGGUACUUCUUGGAGCUGCAAAACAACCCUAAAGUACAUUGCCAAGAAAAAAAAAGCAUUUCCGUCUGCGUCGUCACUCAUUUCCUGAAAAAUGAAAGGACAGAGACAUGGUAUACUAGGUUAUCAUAACAGUGACGAAGACAUCAACAAUGGAGUCAAGGUUUCUGGUCAUUAAAUUUAUGGGGUUAGUGCAUGCACAUAGAGUAAGUAAGGAAGAAUUUGUAUUAAGGUAUAGCUUCCAAUUGCAUAUAAUAGUGGUUUAAACUCUUAUACCCAUAUUUACUAGUUACUAAGCUCAACUUGUUGAAACAAACUCCAACACUGAAAGUGCCCUAUAUGGUUCAGAGGGAAAUCAUGAGUCUGUCUUGCUGCACAUUAUGCCCCUGAAAAAAAAUGGAAGGAAUUUUUUUUCUUCUCUUUCCUAUUCCUAGACUUUUUCUCCCAUCAGAAGUGCUUUUAUGUUUACAUGUGAUUGUAUGACAUGCUGGCUGCAUUGUCUACCAUGAUUAAUUAGGGGCGAGGAUUUUUUUCUUCUCUUCUUUAUUGUCAAUAAUUAUUGCUAGUCUUGCUUGUUCUUUAUAGCACUGCUAAGAUCAGUAUCAGGCUGUUCAUGAUCAAACUCCUGAAGGAAAGCAACACAAUGACCUUCAUGGUCAUCUUUAUCCUGAAUGAAUAGAGUUAGACAUGUAUUUGCAUUGUAGUGCAGCAAGCCAUGUUGACUAGAAAAUCCAUAUUAUUGAGCAUUUUGUUGGUGUUGUGUAUAUGUACUUGAAAAUUCAGUAUUAGGUUUCUGUUUAUAUUUUAUGAUUCAAUUGUAAAAAAUUGUGCCUGUGUAGGUUUGGCCAGCUUUUGUAGUAAGUUUGAUGAAUUUUGCUUGUGUUACAGCUCAUUUCAAUCUGGUGAAGAAAUUUAUAUCCUCAUAUUGUCACGGAAAAUAUGUUAUGAUUUUGCUUUGGUGAACCAGUGGUGAUGGUGUUCCAAAAGUUUGGAUAGUCCAUCAUAUCACACCAAAUAGCAUGAGGAUUGCAAUAUUUUCAUGGGCUUCGGUGUCAGAUGAUUUGGUGUCACAUCUGUCUAAAACCUAGGUUUAAAUUAUAUGACUGCUGUUGUGGAACUGCCAAAUAUGUUUUCCAACUUCUUGAUAUUUAAUAAAAUUUUGUAUCUAAUAAAGAAAACAUUUAGGAACAAAAUAAUGCAUUUAUGAACUUUCAACUCAA